AAUUAAUGUGUGUAUAUACACAUACUGCAGAAACUUCCGAGUUUAAGGCUCAGAUCUGUAUAAUCAGAGCAAAGGAGACAAUGCAUCCGCCAUGGCUGCAGACCUCGGUUUCACUGCCAAAAUGUCUACCGGGUUGCCCCGCCAAGAUACGGACCCUGCUCCUUUGACCCUAUGAACUCUAGACACCUUAAUCAUCAUAGCCUAUCUUCCCUUCCAUUACAACAACAAAAAUAAUAAUAAUAAUAAU
Molecule: unclassified non-coding RNA, 247 nt
Filed under: Hevea brasiliensis (rubber tree)
Lineage: Eukaryota; Viridiplantae; Streptophyta; Magnoliopsida; Malpighiales; Euphorbiaceae
Source: RNAcentral